ACUCAGCCCAGGCUUCCAGGCCCUCCUGGGCCCUCCUAUCCACUGAAGGAAAUGGGAGAUGAGUGGGUAAUGGAAAAGCCUUUGGAGUCAGAUGUAAAUCCAUGACUUGACCACUUAUUGCUGUGAGACCCUGGACAGCUGGAUAUAGAGUUCUUGUUCUAGCAUCCGCCCUGGGAAUCCCCGGAACUGGGCCUCUUACCGACACCAUUGCCUGUAAUCCACAAACCUAGGAGCACAUGGUUAAAGCAUGAGAUGUGAAACCAGGAAGAACCAGGUCUGAACCUUAGCUCCACCAGUGGUAGCUUCAAACCUUGGUCCUUUCUGAGCCUGCUUCUUCAACCGUAAGGAACUCGGAAACGGGACCCAGAAAGUUGUUUUCUCAAGUGGAUGGAACAACACAAGCAAUCAGUAUCCUGAAACAGGCCCUG
Molecule: long non-coding RNA, 428 nt
Filed under: Homo sapiens (human)
Lineage: Eukaryota; Metazoa; Chordata; Mammalia; Primates; Hominidae
Description: novel transcript, antisense to IWS1
Source: RNAcentral